This 433-nucleotide ribosomal RNA is filed under the name uncultured bacterium. Its description in RNAcentral is "partial 16S ribosomal RNA". It matches the Rfam family "Bacterial small subunit ribosomal RNA", at positions 29 to 507 of the family's 1533-position model. The record is from RNAcentral.
AACGAACGCUGGCGGCAUGCCUAACACAUGGAAGUCGAACGAGACCUUCGGGUCUAGUGGCGCACGGGUGCGUAACGCGUGGGAACCUGCCCUUAGGUUCGGAAUAACUCCCCGAAAGGGGUGCUAAUACCGGGUAAUGUCUGCGGAUCAAAGAUUCAUCCUCUUUGGAUGGGCCCGCGUUGUAUUAGCUAGUUGGUAGGGUAAAAGCCUACCAAGGCGACGCUCCAUAGCUGGUCUGAGAGGAUGAUCAGCCACACUGAGACUGAGACACGGCCCAGACUCCUACGGGAAGCAGCAGUGGGGAAUAUUGGACAAUGGGCGAAAGCCUGAUCCAGCAAUGCCGCGUGAGUGAUGAAGGUGUUAGGGUUGUAAAGCUCUUUUACACGGGACGAUACUGACAGUACCGGGAGAAUAAGCACCGGCUAACUCCGUG